Leucoraja erinaceus (little skate) is the source of this 1492-nucleotide non-coding RNA. Lineage: Eukaryota; Metazoa; Chordata; Chondrichthyes; Rajiformes; Rajidae. The record is from the annotation of a RefSeq genome assembly.
GGGAGUAUGUAUAAUGGUUCUGAUGUUAUUUGGGAUGUGAUCCGUUCCCAGUACCUUAAGUUCUCGGCUGGUGCGAUUUCUUUGUCUCGGACCCGCAUUUUCAUGGAACGAAAAGAUUUCAUCGCCCACAAGCCCACUAGAUGCACAACGUAUCUUACCCAGAUGCACAGAGUAUCUUGCCCAGAGUAGGGGAAUCUAGGACCAGAGGACACAUGUUCAAGGUGAAGGGGAAAAUAUUUAAUAGGAAUCAGCGCGCUUUUGAAUUCUCUGCCACAGAAGGUAGUUGAGGCCAGUUCGUUGGCUAUAUUUAAGAGGGAGUUAAAUGUGGCCCUUGUGGCUAAAGGGAUCAGGGGGUAUGGAGAGAAGGCAGGCACAGGCUACUGAGUUGGAUGAUCAGCCAUGAUCAUAUUGAAUGGCGGUGCAGGCUCGAAGGUCCGAAUGGCCUACUCCUGCACCUAUUGUUUAUGUUUCCAUGUUUCUAUGUUUUGCAAAGUGAUCCACUUCUGUCAGAGGUAUUGCAUUUGUUGCAAAAUGUUAAGCAGCGGCCUAGCAUUUUUUAGACCCAUAAUACAGAAGGCUUACCUGUCUUGUUGCCCCGUCCACUUGUCAGCUUUGAUAGUUAGUAUGCCUUGUGAUAAAUUCUAAAUAGCGGUCCAAAUUUCGGCCCCAGGUUUUCUUUGUCCGAGUAUCUCUCGGCAAUGUUUGGGAUUGACGUUCAGUGUUUUAUUGAGUAGCUUCGUUGCUAGUUCUGCGUCGCUAGAUCUUAACGAGAACAUUGUAUUCCGCACGUGAUGUCAAAAUGGGCUGUCCCAAUGGUGAAGUACAACGAGCCAACGCGAUCAAUGCUUUCGGAGCGGAAGCGGCGUGUGACUAUUGUCACGUCACCACGCUCCGAGCUCCGUCAACGCUACAGUCCGAUUAAGGGUCUCGAGUGGAAGCGUUGCCUGUCCGUUCCAUUCCACAGCUACUGCCUUCAUCCUGCAGUUUGAAUGUUAUUAUCGCAGGAUUCCAGCGUCCACAGUCUCGGAGAGAAAUGCCGGCAUUAAUUUUACUAUUGCUUCUCAUAACAAGCAGCGAUGGCGACCUUGUGCUGACGCAGCCGGCAUCGGCGAUGUUGAACGAUGGAGACGCUCAUCUGAUCCAGUGCCAUGUGGCGGGCGGCGACAUCAUUGACCGAGUCAUGUUCUGGUACAGGCAGCGUCCAGGGAAAUCUUUGGAAUGGGUGGUUAGAUACUUCGAUUCGUCCUCCGUCAGUUAUGCUCCGGAGAUUCGUGGCGGAUUCAAAUGCACAGCCGAUCGCUCGAACUUGUAUUUAGAGAUAAGACUGGCAGGGGUCGAUGAUAUUGCGGUGUAUUUCUGUGCAGCGGCACACAGUAGUCUAACUAUCGGCUGGUCUGGUUAAAAACCCUAAAUGCAGUAAACAGCUGGGAGCUCCCGGAAUGAAAUUAUAAGAACAUAAGUGGUAGAGUUAUGUCUUUAUUUUUUAAUUUUU